RNAcentral lists this ribosomal RNA (253 nucleotides) under uncultured bacterium. RNAcentral describes it as "partial 16S ribosomal RNA". It matches the Rfam family "Bacterial small subunit ribosomal RNA", at positions 524 to 776 of the family's 1533-position model. The record is from RNAcentral.
UACGAAGGGGGCUAGCGUUGCUCGGAAUCACUGGGCGUAAAGCGCACGUAUGCGGACUCUUAAGUCGGUGGUGAAAUCCUGGAGCUCAACUCCAGAACUGCCUUCGAUACUGGGAGUCUCGAGUCCGGGAGAGGUGAGUGGAACUGCGAGUGUAGAGGUGAAAUUCGUAGAUAUUCGCAAGAACACCAGUGGCGAAGGCGGCACACUGGCCCGGUACUGACGCUGAGGUGCGAAAGCGUGGGGAGCAAACAGG